Molecule: ribosomal RNA, 492 nt
Filed under: uncultured bacterium
Lineage: Bacteria
Description: partial 16S ribosomal RNA
Rfam family: Bacterial small subunit ribosomal RNA
Source: RNAcentral
AGUGAACGCUGGCGGUAGGCCUAACACAUGCAAGUCGAACGGCAGCACAGUAAGAGCUUGCUCUUACGGGUGGCGAGUGGCGGACGGGUGAGGAAUACAUCGGAAUCUACUUUUUCGUGGGGGAUAACGUAGGGAAACUUACGCUAAUACCGCAUACGACCUACGGGUGAAAGCAGGGGAUCUUCGGACCUUGCGCGAUUGAAUGAGCCGAUGUCGGAUUAGCUAGUUGGCGGGGUAAAGGCCCACCAAGGCGACGAUCCGUAGCUGGUCUGAGAGGAUGAUAACCCACCAGGGAGGGUGACCGCGCACAAGGCGCCUGAGGGAGGCAGCAGUCGCGGACGGGGGACAGUAGUCGCGAGUCUGGUACAACCGUCGCAAGCGAGAUACAACGACCUACCGGUUGUGAAGACCUUCUGCUGGGAAAGAACCGCAUCAGCCUAAGACCCCGCUGUUCUGACGGUACCCAAAGAAGAAGCACCGGCUAACUACGUG